UGACUCUGUUCAACGGCCGCGGUAUCCUAACCGUGCGAAGGUAGCGUAAUCACUUGUUCUUUAAAUAAGGACUAGUAUGAAUGGCACCACGAGGGUUAUACUGUCUCCUUUUUCUAAUCAAUGAAACUAAUCUUCCCGUGCAGAAGCGGGGAUUUUUCUAUAAGACGAGAAGACCCUAUGGAGCUUUAAACAAAAUAACAAUUGCUAACAUAACUACUAAUUUCAGAAAACUUAAACGUACCUUAGCACCAUGAUUAUUAGUUUUAGGUUGGGGUGACCGCGGAGAAAAAAUUAACCUCCACAUUGAAAGGACCUUCCUCCUAAGCAAAAAGCUACAACUUUAUGCAUCAAUAAAUUGACAUGAAUUGACCCAAUAUUUUGAUCAACGAACCAAGUUACCCUAGGGAUAACAGCGCAAUCUACUUCAAGAGCUCCUAUCGACAAGUGGGUUUACGACCUCGAUGUUGGAUCAGGGUAUCCCAGUGGUGCAGCCGCUACUAAAGGUUCGUUUGUUCAACUAUUAAAACCCU
Molecule: ribosomal RNA, 530 nt
Filed under: Atelognathus jeinimenensis
Lineage: Eukaryota; Metazoa; Chordata; Amphibia; Anura; Batrachylidae
Description: partial 16S ribosomal RNA
Rfam family: Bacterial large subunit ribosomal RNA
Source: RNAcentral